This 3854-nucleotide long non-coding RNA is filed under the name Homo sapiens (human). The record is from RNAcentral. Lineage: Eukaryota; Metazoa; Chordata; Mammalia; Primates; Hominidae.
GGGUGUGGCCGCAUGGCGUGCUGUGGUGCAGGUGGCCGAAGGGGGCGUUACUGUUGCGACUGGCAUCCGCAUCCGGCAGAUGUAGAUGGAACCAAAGUCCAGAAGUUACGCGUCACCCUUGCUCUACAGCCAAACAUGCAGGACUCUAGUAACCCGCGAAAUGAUGGGAUAGCGUUGCAAAUCCUUAAAAGAGUCUUAACGUGUAUAACCUGAAUCUAACCUUGAGAGGACAAAUCCCAACUGAGAGACAUUUUACAAAAUGACUGGUCUGCACUCUCCAAAAAUGUCAAUAUCAUGAAACACAAAGAAAGACUGAGAAAUGGUUCCAGCUAAAAGAAUACUAAAGAGGUAUGCAACUGAAUCCACCACAUAAUCUUGGAUUUUCUUUUGUUAAAAGGGCAAAAAUUAAACCGGGAUAACUUAUGAGCUCUGAAUAGAACAUAUAAAUUAAAUAGUGGUAUUGUAUCAAUGUUAAAUUUCUUAUUUUGACAAUCAUUACUGUGGCUGUGUGUGAGAGGCCUUAAACACACAUUGAAGUAUUGAGGGGUAAAGAAAAAUCAUGUCUACAGCUUACUUUUAAGCAAUUGGGAAAAAGUAGAUAAGAUAAAAUAAAUAAGCAAAUGUAAAAUAUUAAUAUUUGAGAAAAUCUGGGUGAAGGUAUCCAGAAAUAUGUAUGAUUCUUGUAACCAUUCUCUGAGUGUCAAAUUAUUUUUAAAAAGCCUUUAUCCUACAACUUUUAAAAACACAAACUGAAUCAACAAUUAAGAAAAUGUUGCAAGUAAUUUUCAAAAAUAAAUUCUAGUGGACAUUUAUUCAUUAUUCCUCUAUUCAUUAAACACUUCUUACCUACUUAUUUAUAAGCUUUUCCCCUGAGAAGUUUCAUUUUACUGUGAAACAUUAUUAAAAUGAAAUGAUGAGAGUUUAAGCAUUUUUAAAUUGAUAGCAAGUAAAUUCAAACAAAAGUGUUACAAUAUUUUUUAUUUUAAGCAAAUGAGGGAUUCCAUUUUUUUAAAGUUUUUGAUUGAAUUAGAAAAUUUUAAUUACAAUAUUAAGAAACAUGAUUCUUUUCUACCCUACCAACAAAAAACACUAUUAAAUAUUUUAAAAAUACUUCAUUUUUUUUUAAAAGGCAUACUCCACUCCCACUCCCAUCACCUCAAAAGGGAAAGAAACCUUGGCCCUGUUAAAUAAGUUAAAAAGUUGAUUUUCAGUUUCAGAGCUUUUUUCAUUUUCAAGGGGAAAAAAUGAUUUUAAAUUCAUCCACUAGAGGGCGUCUAAUAAUUUUACUAUCACUCCAGUCAAGAAACCCCAACAAGUGCAUUCAGCUAAUUUUAUCUUAUGAUUCAGACUUUUUUCCCACAUUACAAAGUGAGACUUUUAGUUUUCUGUAAUUCUUUGCAACCUGACCUUAUUUAAAGUUCAGCUUUGAAUUAGAUCCAACAGAGGCUGUGAGUUAAAGUCUUUGGAAGGCUUACUUCACGUAGAACCUGAGAAUCUUAUAUUUCUUUAAGGUUUUAGCUACUUCCCUCUGCACCAUCCCAGCUGGACUUGGAACCAUAUGACCUGAGUUUUACUUUCUGCUCUGCCCUGGGCCACAUUUUCGUCUUAAUAUUUCAUGUUUUAAAGGCAUAAUGAUGUCACUGACUGGCUGAUGAAAUCCCAAGCGUAGGUAGUAUGCUACAUGAGGGGUGAGUUUUUUGCUAACACCACAAAGGUCUCUGGCCCAAUGAGUGGAGUUUGAUAGGAGUUCUUGUGACAAGUCUAAUGUUAUUGCAUGCCAGUUUUGAGGAGAGAUGAAAACAUUUGAAAAGCAGUGUGUUUUUUUUCUACGUUUGUCUGUAUUUCUUACUCAGGCCUCUCAGGCAUUACUUGGCCUUUCUGUUUUCACACCAACUUGGUGAGUUCUACUAUAAGAUUCUAAAAAGAUGGGUAGUGCGUGGUUCAAAUUGGUUCAUUUGUAACUGGAAAAAAUUUAUAAUUAAAAAAAUAAAAUAUGUUUAAAAAAGCCAUAAUGAUGAAACUUUCAAUUAGCAAUGACUUUGAAACAUAGUACUAUGAUUGAGUUAAUGGCUAUCUUAUUUAACACAUGCUUAUUUUUUAAGCAACUCUUUGGUAAAAUAAACUAUAGCUGGCAUUCUCUGUCAUAAAAGAUAAAGCAGUUAUAUCCUUCAAUCAGGGAAUUUAAUAUUUGGUAGUGCAGAUUUAAAAUGUAUGUGACCCAGGUAAUACAAGAUAGACCAAUAAAUUUUAAGAAAGGUAUAAUAAAGUGUACACAAAUUCAGAAUCUUACUUGCCCAUAAAUUAACUUGCUAUUGUCUUAGUUCCGUUUAUUUUGUGCUCCAAGGCCAUGUUCAUUUGAAUGAUUUAUGUAGAGAUCCACUUUGCUUUUAGUUGUUCAUUUGUCCUUGGAUUAUAUUUCUUUAAUUUUGGUAUAUUUCUCCUCUCUUGCCCCUGGCCCUGGUUCUUAUCAGUGUUUGCUUUAUUUUGCCAUAAACAAGAACAUUCUGUUUUUGUUUUUCACAGUCAAUUGCAGUUGUUCAUUUCUUCUUAGAAUAUUAUCUUUAACACUCACCUUACCCACACUAAUUACACCCUUACCUAGUGUUGUCCACAGGUAAUUAUCUUCAGAUGUGUGCUUCAGUUUCCUCAUCUACAUACAUGGAGAAAAUAGUAAUAUCUACCUCUAAGGCCUAUCAUGACAAUAAAUGAGUUAAUACAUGCAAAGCACCUGGAAUAGUGCCUGGAACACAGCACUUUAUAAAUCUUUACCAUUAUUAUAAUUAAAACUUGAGGCACACAAUUUUUAUAUGUAUCCAUAUGCGUUUAUAUGUUUAUAAAUGUGUAUCAUAUAUAUUUUUUUCUUGAUGUGUUUUAAGCAUCAGUUUUCACUUCAAGCUUUUUCUGCCUUUUUCUUCCCCAGCCUCCUACAGGUAAAAAGGAAAUAGACAAUAUUGCAGUGUUCACUGGGCAGAGUUGGGUAGAGUGUAGUAGUUAAAAGAGCUGGCUGCACCCAUUAACUCGCAUGGCACAUGUAUACAUAUGUAACAAACCUGCACGUUGUGCACGUGUACCCUAAAACUUAAAGUAUAAUAAUAAUAAUAAAAUAAAUAAAUAAAUAAAUAAAUGGGAAGCCUCUGACUGUUAAAAAAAAAAGAGCUGGCUAUGGAUAUGGCCAUAUAUAGAUAACUAAAUAUACUGAUAUACUGAGAUUUCCACUUAGUAAACAGUAAUUUUGGGCAUGUUAUAUAAUAUUGGAGGUUUAGUUUCUUCAUGUGUAAAAUAAAGAUAAUGAUUGUGCAUAAUUUAUGUGAUUGUUGGAAGCAUUAUAUGAAAUAUUGCAUGUAAAAGCUUAUUUAUUUAAUAUUUAUUCACUGCCUGUUCUGUGAACCUAGCAUGUAAAAGCUUUUAGCCAAAUUCCUGGCACAUAUUUAUGUCUUCAAGCAUUAUUUAUCAUCAUCAACAUUAUUGCUAUUGUUAUUUCUGCUAGUAGCACAGUACUAUGUUGUAGCACAAUGUUAGGCAUAUUGUACCUGUGUGAUAAUAUUUAUUGAAUUUAAACCGUUGGCCAAUGUCAGUAGUGCAUUCUACACCAGUAAAUUCUCUGUGUGUUAAGGCAAGCCUCCACACAUCUUCAGACAACAUAUCUUUACACUAAGGACUAAGGAGUGGCCCACAUUUCUUGCCGGCAGGCCUGGGUUAACCAUAGAAUUUAAAAGCUGUCAAUAUGUAAUACUCUGUAUUAGUACAGAUAAACUAGUGAUAAGCUUAACACAGAUAAGCUAUGAACUCUUUCUGCAAAUAACCUGCUACUCUGGAAUUCUUGUGGUAUUAAAUGACUCUUAUUAGAAACCAUG